Long non-coding RNA from Heterocephalus glaber (naked mole-rat), 1378 nucleotides. The record is from Ensembl. Lineage: Eukaryota; Metazoa; Chordata; Mammalia; Rodentia; Bathyergidae.
CUGGAACCCCAGGAAAUAAUAAAUUGGCAGGGCAAGUAGCCGUCCACCUGAGAAUCUCUUAGAGUGUCAGAGAUCUCUUAGAAUGUCUACUGUGACACCUGUCUGGAGGCCGUUUCUCUCCAGUCACUGUGUGUGUGUGCGAGCGCGCGCGCGUGUGCGUGUGCGUGUGCUGGUGGAAGGGGAUUUAGAGGACAGCAGGGUUGUGUGGGUGGAUAGGGGAUACCAGCCUAAGGGUACCAAGGUUAGGAUACCUUUCCACUGCCUGGAUAUGGCUGGAUGGCCCUGGGACCUGAUGGUAGAGCAGGGUCUUGGAGACAGCCCCUGACACCAGCUUCUCUAGGUGGUGGAUACAACUGCAGCACAAGUGAAAGCCAAGCAAGGAGUACUGGAGAGAGAGUCUAGAGACCAGCGUAAAAGUUUAUUCAAAUAGGCUGAUUAAGCUCCAACUGUCCUGCUGAGAAGAGAUGGAAGGGAGCAAUGGUAGAAGCAUGGGAGGUCUGCAACAAAUUAGUUGAGAGACACUGCUGACUGGACCCAGGGUGGAGGUGGUGAGAAGUGGUUAGCUUCUGGAUGUAUUGCCAGAUUCUGGAGUUAAAAGAUGGCCAAAAGACUGGGUGAACGAGGACUUUCUUUAUGUUUGAGAGAAACCAAGACUCAUCCCAGGCAAUCAAACUAAGGCCCAGGAAGGAAAACUGAAGUCCAGUUAGAUAUCCUCUGCAGUCAAAGUCUAUGGAUCGAGCACAUUACACAGUCAUGGUGAUAGCAGAUGUGUCCCUAAAAGGCCUUGGCUGUCUUUGGGCCAUUGUGGUCCUACUGAAAAAAGGGCUCAUCCUCAAAGGCUGUGAAAAAAUUAAAAACAGAAUUGGAGCUGAAUAAACUGGUUUGAAGAGCUGGGACAUUGCAAUUAGCCAGCCAAUUUUUGUGUAGAUAUAGCUUCAUUAUGAAAUCUGACUGGGCUUGACUCUGGAUAAUUCAACCUUAAGGUACAAACAACCUGGACCAUUUUGUGGAAGACCUUGAAUGAUUUCCAAGCAGGAAAUGGAAGCCUAAAGAGUCAGAGAGUAAACAAAUUCAGGUUUUCACUUUUGGGUGACCUUGAUUAGCACACAACAACAUAACAACUGCUGUCCCUGGAAAUCCACCCUCUCCCUGGCUCAAUGAGUUUGAUCCAUUCUUCUCUGCCUGGAGGGACCUCUGCAAGAUAUCUCAGGGGUCAGAGGAGCCAAAUGCUCAUUCUGUAGAUGAGAAAGUGGAUAUUUAGAGUCUGCAUGAACAGCAUCUAUUACUCUUUAAUAUUUUUCUCUCAGUCCCAACACUGUGCUCCAUUUUCUUCAAGCAAGAGCUAUGGAGGGAAUGUCCAACCAUUUUCACAUUUCCA